This 252-nucleotide ribosomal RNA is filed under the name uncultured Gardnerella sp. Its description in RNAcentral is "partial 16S ribosomal RNA". It matches the Rfam family "Bacterial small subunit ribosomal RNA", at positions 100 to 354 of the family's 1533-position model. Lineage: Bacteria; Bacillati; Actinomycetota; Actinomycetes; Bifidobacteriales; Bifidobacteriaceae. The record is from RNAcentral.
GGGUAGAGUAAUGCGUGACCAACCUGCCCCAUGCUCCAGAAUAGCUCUUGGAAACGGGUGGUAAUGCUGGAUGCUCCAACUUGACGCAUGUCUUGUUGGGAAAGUGUUUAGUGGCAUGGGAUGGGGUCGCGUCCUAUCAGCUUGUAGGCGGGGUAAUGGCCCACCUAGGCUUCGACGGGUAGCCGGCCUGAGAGGGCGGACGGCCACAUUGGGACUGAGAUACGGCCCAGACUCCUACGGGAGGCAGCAGGU